UUGCGCUAGGCGGGAAGCUAGCGGUGUCCUAUUACCCGAAAUCCGCUUAAUGCGGGGCUGAAUUCCCUUUUGAGGGCCUCCACUUCCAUGUGCCAAGGGCUGUCCCAGGUCGGGCACCACGCAACAGGCGGUUACGAACUCCGUCAGAUCCGGGAGGAAGCAGCGGUAAGUAAUGCAGUCUGUGUCGUGGGCUGGCUUCGGCCGAAUCAUGAUGGCUUGAGGUGCGUUGGAAAGGGUUCGAUGAAGGGUGCGCAA
This 255-nucleotide signal recognition particle RNA is filed under the name Deltaproteobacteria bacterium. RNAcentral's name for it is "signal recognition particle sRNA large type". It matches the Rfam family "Bacterial large signal recognition particle RNA". From Rfam's summary of the family: The signal recognition particle (SRP) is a universally conserved ribonucleoprotein involved in the co-translational targeting of proteins to membranes. Archaeal SRP consists of a 7S RNA and homologues of the eukaryotic SRP19 and SRP54 proteins. The record is from RNAcentral. Lineage: Bacteria; Pseudomonadati; Myxococcota; Myxococcia.